This 260-nucleotide ribosomal RNA is filed under the name unidentified marine bacterioplankton. RNAcentral's name for it is "partial 16S ribosomal RNA". It matches the Rfam family "Bacterial small subunit ribosomal RNA", at positions 79 to 339 of the family's 1533-position model. The record is from RNAcentral.
CUUGCUUUGCGCUGACGAGUGGCGGACGGUGCGUAACGCGUGGAAAUCUACCUAUAAGCUGGGGAUAAGCUUUGGAAACAGAGUCAAUACCGAAUGAGUUCUACGGAAUAAAGAUUUGCCACUCCUUGGAAGCAGUCACUUAUAGAUGAGUCUGCGUUGGAUUAGCUAGUUAAUGGGGUAAAGGCCUACCAAGGCGACGAUCCAUAGCUGGUUUGAGAGGAUGAUCAGCCACACUGGGACUGAGACACGGCCCAGGCUCC